UUUUAUCCAACAGUCCACAUCCUUUAUUUUCUAACCCUAAUUCCCUCUCUGCCAUGGCAGAACUUUCUCUUGGCACUUUCCUCCAUUUUUAGCCAAGCUUUGACCUUCAAAUCCCUACGUGACAGAGCAUAUCUCACCAUUUCGGGUGUAACCUGUAGCAUAUCACUGAAGAAUCACGUGAAGAUCGAAUCCAUCCAAAAAGCUUCUCCGUUAAAAUUUAAACGGAUCCAUUUGACUUCUUUCGAAAUCUGAAUUUCAAAUUCCCUCUCAAAGGAACCCAGAACCCUAAUUUUACACCUAUAAAUACCAGACCUUGUGGCUAUUUUCAGCACCUUUGGACCCGCUGCUUUUAUACUCUUUUCCUCGCCAUUCUUCUCUUAUUUUUAUUCAUUAGAACCGCACUCUAAGAGUUCGUUUUCGUUCAGCCUCUAUUGGUUUUAACCAUAACAGAGGCAUCGUUGUGCUCGUCUUGGAGUUUGACAGUCAUUCGAGGUUGCGGAGUAGAGGCCGGAGAUAGCAGACCUUGACGCGACCCCAGUUCCUGCACCACAAAAGGAGUCUAUUAGGGUUUCUUGGAGAUUACUCUAUCCUAAACCCUAACGCAUACCUAUAUUAAGGGAUACAUAUUCCCUUGAAGAGGGGUUUCAAAAAUCCCAUAAACUCUUGGGAUAUUCACAAAGAGAUCAAAAUAUGACCGGAUACUUCUUGACAAUCAAAUAGUUCAAGAAGCUGGAGAUCAAAUACAUCCCCAGGAGGUCUACAUCAUCCUACAUUCGAGAAAUACGCUGCUUCAGCCCUGGAAUCACGGAGAUAAUCAGGAGAGAAGAAUCAAGGGAGAAACAGAAUUGUAUUUUUCUCCUAUUUUGUGAUUGUAGUUUAUUUUUCAUAUCUUGAAAAUUUAUUGCAAACAAAUUGGCAUGCCUAGUGAGACCAGUUCUGCCCUUCAUCUCUUCCUCCUGUAAAUUGAAAACUCCAAGUUUCAAAAUCAUUUGUUGCGAUGGUCGAGUACUUCAAGUUUCGUCUUCAAGUUUCGGCAAGCCUACAUCCCGACAAACCUUGAAGUAUGGGGAAUUUGUACACAUCUAAAUUUUAACGGAUCAAGCUAAAUCCUAAUUUUAAGAUACUACAAGACUCUUGAAAUCCCAGGAGUCUAUUAGGGGUCUCAAAAAUCCCAUAAACUCUCGAGAUAUGCACAAAGAGAUCAAAAUAUGACCGGAUACUUCUCGACUAUCAAAUAGUUCAAGAAGCUGGAGAUCAAAUACAUCCCCAGGAGGUCUGCAUCAUCCUACAUUCGAGAAAUAUGCUGCUUCAGCCCUCGAAUCACGGAGAUAAUCAGGAGAGAAGAAUCAUAAUUGUACUCACAAUUGAUUAGUAAAAAUAUUUUUCUCCUAUUUUGUGAUUGUAAUUUAUUUUUCAUAUCUUGAAAAUUUAUUGCAAACACUAGUGUCGAAGGAUUAGAUAGCAUGUAUUUAAUUCACUUUAAAGGAGUUAAUAAGGUUCCAUAAUUCACUGAUCAAGAAGGAAUAAUUGUAGGACAACUUAAUCUAUUCAACCUUUAAGAUUUCAAUAAACAUAGAAAGUUCA
Molecule: long non-coding RNA, 1584 nt
Organism: Nicotiana tabacum (common tobacco)
Lineage: Eukaryota; Viridiplantae; Streptophyta; Magnoliopsida; Solanales; Solanaceae
Source: RefSeq, a predicted model, not a curated record